RNAcentral lists this ribosomal RNA (771 nucleotides) under fungal sp. RNAcentral's name for it is "eukaryotic LSU rRNA". The stretch from base 495 to 771 matches the Rfam family "Eukaryotic large subunit ribosomal RNA", at positions 1 to 274 of the family's 3401-position model. Lineage: Eukaryota; Fungi. The record is from RNAcentral.
UUACUGAGUGAGGGCCCUCUGGGUCCAACCUCCCACCCGUGUUUAUUGUACCUUGUUGCUUCGGUGCGCCCGCCUCACGGCCGCCGGGGGGCUUCUGCCCCCGGGUCCGCGCGCACCGGAGACACUAUUGAACUCUGUCUGAAGAUUGCAGUCUGAGCAUAAACUAAAUAAGUUAAAACUUUCAACAACGGAUCUCUUGGUUCCGGCAUCGAUGAAGAACGCAGCGAAAUGCGAUAACUAAUGUGAAUUGCAGAAUUCAGUGAAUCAUCGAGUCUUUGAACGCACAUUGCGCCCCCUGGUAUUCCGGGGGGCAUGCCUGUCCGAGCGUCAUUGCUGCCCUCAAGCACGGCUUGUGUGUUGGGCUCCGUCCCCCCGGGGACGGGUCCGAAAGGCAGCGGCGGCACCGAGUCCGGUCCUCGAGCGUAUGGGGCUUUGUCACCCGCUCUGUAGGCCCGGCCGGCGCCAGCCGACAACCAAUCAUCCUUUUUUCAGGUUGACCUCGGAUCAGGUAGGGAUACCCGCUGAACUUAAGCAUAUCAAUAAGCGGAGGAAAAGAAACCAACAGGGAUUACCUCAGUAACGGCGAGUGAAGCGGUAAGAGCUCAAAUUUGAAAGCUGGCUCCUUCGGGGUCCGCAUUGUAAUUUGCAGAGGAUGUUUCGGGAGCAGCCCCCAUCUAAGUGUCCUGGAACGGACCGUCAUAGAGGGUGAGAAUCCCGUAUGGGAUGGGGUGUCUGCGCCCAUGUGAAACUCCUUCGACGAGUCGAGUUGUU